GCCCAGGUGGCGGAAUUGGUAGACGCGCACGUUUCAGGUGCGUGUGUCGUAAGACGUGCAGGUUCGAGUCCUGUUCUGGGCA
This 82-nucleotide transfer RNA is filed under the name Prevotella sp. Its description in RNAcentral is "tRNA-Leu". It matches the Rfam family "tRNA". Rfam says of the family: Transfer RNA (tRNA) molecules are approximately 80 nucleotides in length. Lineage: Bacteria; Pseudomonadati; Bacteroidota; Bacteroidia; Bacteroidales; Prevotellaceae. The record is from RNAcentral.